UUUGAAAUCUGGCUCUUUCAGGGUCCGAGUUGUAAUUUGCAGAGGGUGCUUUGGUGUUGGCGGCGGUCUAAGUUCCUUGGAACAGGACAUCGCAGAGGGUGAGAAUCCCGUAUGUGGUCGCCCGCCUUCGCCGUGUAAAGCCCCUUCGACGAGUCGAGUUGUUUGGGAAUGCAGCUCUAAAUGGGAGGUAAAUUUCUUCUAAAGCUAAAUACCGGCCAGAGACCGAUAGCGCACAAGUAGAGUGAUCGAAAGAUGAAAAGCACUUUGGAAAGAGAGUCAAACAGCACGUGAAAUUGUUAAAAGGGAAGCGCUUGCAGCCAGACUUGCCUGUAGUUGCUCACCUGGGCUUUUGCCCGGGGCACUCUUCUGCAGGCAGGCCAGCAUCAGUUUGGGCGGUAGGAUAAAGGCCUCUGACACGUAUCUCCCUUCGGGGUUAACAUAUAGGGGGGGCGCAAUGCUACCAGCCCGGACUGAGGUCCGCGCAUCUGCUAGGAUGCUGGCGUAAUGGCUGUAAGCGGCCCGUCUUGAAACACGGACCAAGGAGUCUAACAUCUAUGCGAGUGUUUGGGUGUCAAGCCCGAGCGCGUAAUGAAAGUGAACGGAGGUGGGAACCCCUCGGGGCGCACCAUCGACCGAUCCUGAUGUCUUCGGAUGGAUUUGAGUAAGAGCAUAGCUGUUGGGACCCGAAAGAUGGUGAACUAUGCUUGAAUAGGGUGAAGCCAGAGGAAACUCUGGUGGAGGCUCGCAGCGGUUCUGACGUGCAAAUCGAUCGUCAAAUUUGGGCAUAGGGGCGAAAGACUAAUCGAACUAUCUAGUAGCUGGUUCCUGCCGAAGUU
This 836-nucleotide ribosomal RNA is filed under the name Periconia submersa. RNAcentral describes it as "LSU rRNA". It matches the Rfam family "Eukaryotic large subunit ribosomal RNA", at positions 114 to 968 of the family's 3401-position model. The record is from RNAcentral. Lineage: Eukaryota; Fungi; Ascomycota; Dothideomycetes; Pleosporales; Periconiaceae.